AAUGUAAGAUUUCAAUCCUCUUUAUUUCUAUUUUCAGAUCUAUAAUCUGAUUUUAUCAUGUAUGUUGGAUCUGUUGGGAAUAGUAUCCCAAAGCCAAUCGCUAGCCUGUUGACGGUUGUGCUCUUUCUUGUAUUAGCAUAUGAAUUAUAAAUAAAUAAAAGUUAUUUUAACAUUUUUCAUCAUAAAUUGUUUCAUCUUCUAAUGAACUCCUGUGUUGUGGUGAAGUCCUUAGGAC
This 235-nucleotide long non-coding RNA is filed under the name Elaeis guineensis (African oil palm). RNAcentral's name for it is "long non-coding RNA (EGUI_LNC051142)". Lineage: Eukaryota; Viridiplantae; Streptophyta; Magnoliopsida; Arecales; Arecaceae. The record is from RNAcentral.